RNAcentral lists this long non-coding RNA (2997 nucleotides) under Homo sapiens (human). RNAcentral's name for it is "RASGRF2 antisense RNA 1". Lineage: Eukaryota; Metazoa; Chordata; Mammalia; Primates; Hominidae. The record is from RNAcentral.
UCACAUCCACCUCACAAAGCAGGUAUUAUUAUCAUGCCCAUUUUAUAGAAGAAAAACAGGUUCAGAGAAGGUAAGUAACAUUCCCAAAUGGUAGAGCUUGUGAGUCUCAGAGGCAGGAUUUGAACCCGGGCCUGUCUGACCGGAGACCCAUCCUCUUUAUUAUAGAGUGUUUCUCCUGUGUUGCCUGGAAGUGUGAGUUAAAGCUGAGAGCAUGUGCCACGUGCUCCAGCCCUAACUCUUGUCAUUUAUUAUAUUGGACAAAUUACUUAUUUAUGCCUCAGUUUUGAUGUUAGAAGUGGAGGUAAUAAUAGGACUUUCUUCCUAGGAGUUCAUGAAAAUUUAAUAGUUAAUAUGUCCAGAGUGCAUAGAACAUGGUCUAUCACAUACUAAUGACAUCAUUAAAUGGGACAGGAUGGAGCCUUAUUUAUUUAUUUAUUUAAUUUGUGAGACAAGGUCUCACUCUGUUGCCCACGCUGGAGUACAGUGGCACAGUCUUGGCUCACUGCAGCCUCGACCUUCCCCAGGCUCAAGUGAUCCUCCCACCUCAGCCUCCUGAGUAGCUGGGACUACAGGCAAGCACCACCAUGCCUGGCUAAUUUUUGUACUUUUUGUAAACACAGGGUUUUGCCAUGUUGUCCAGGCUGGUCUCAAGCUCCUGGGCUCAAGCAAUCUGCCCACCUCGGCCUCCCAAAGUGUUGGGAUUACAGGAGUGAGCCACCACAUCUGGCCCAGGGUGGGACUUUAAACAGAAAAAGGACGUGAGCAUGGAGGUCUGGCCUGAGCAGGAGUGAACAAUGCUACAUUGAGGAGAGAACAUUAAAGGAGACCCAGCUCUUGGAGUGAGGCCUUAAGCUUCGGGAGUUGAAACAAUGACCUCCCAUUAAAACCCUUGGAGUCACAGGGAGAAACAGAUUUCUAGAAUUGGACCUAAAUCUGUUCAUUCUUAUUUUUCCUAUUUUUGGCUACCUGAAGAAACCAACAAUAUUUGUUCCCUGGGUAUUUUGAAGUUCACCAUAAAUAAUACCACUCGGUUUAGAAAACUGUGUAUUCAGUUCCUCAGAGAAUGGAUUAUCUAAUUACGUGUCUGUGUUUACAUGGAACAGGUAGUCCAAUCCACGAAAGUGUGAGAACCAUGAGCCUAGUCUCGACCUCAGGAGUUGCCUGAGGAAACUGAUGCUAAAAAUCCAAGUUGCAAAUCAAAAUAUUAGAAAAAUCAAGCCAUGCUCUAGACUUGGAAGCCCGACACUUAGAUCAUCUCUCUCUGAGCAGAGCCAGCUGUUGGCCCCCAUAGGUGAGUGUCAGUGACAUUCUGACACAGGAAAGGUCAACAGGUGCCCCAGGACCACAUCCACCUGGUUAGAAGCUCUGCUGGGUUUGGUCUGGGAGAGACCCGCUGCCUCAAGAGAAUUUGCUACAGGGAAAGCCCCCUGGGUAACCAUGAAGAUGUGAUAUGUUAUGUCAGCAUGAAGAUAGACGAUAUUGUAGAAGACCUUAUGGGGUUUGUAAUGGGGAAAGUGGGCAGGGGAGGUGGGAAUAAAUAUUGCAACAAAGUAUCUUUUCUCUCUUGUGUGUGUGGAAAUGUGCUCUUUGGGGCAUUAAAAUCCUACCAGUGUACCCCCAUGCCCUUCCAAGAUGAGCUCAGGGAGAUGUAUUUUUGUGUUGCAGUCAACAGGCUGAUAAUCAUCAUCAUGGAUCAUGUACUUAAGGCUGAAAAACAGCAGCCUUCUCUAUCCCAUCAUAGAAAGGGCAUUUUGAACCACAAAGGCUAUGUCCCUGGUAAUAAACAUCAGAAAUAACCAUUUGAAUAAAUUACAUGUGUGUAGCAUGUGAUUUUAUAGAAUGCUUCCACAUGUGUUACUAUCUCAUUUAAUUCCAUAUUUGUACAAAUAUGUUAUACACUUGGGUAAUUCUCUGAAUUCUCUGCAUUUCACGCAUUUGGAGUAGUGGCAGGGAUGUAGUGGCACUCAGAUGACAUCAGGGCCUGUUUGCUUUAUGGCAGUAAUGAGCAUUUGUAGGGCAUUUCACAGUUUAUGUAGAGCUUAAAUACAUUUAUUAGACCUCAUUUGAUCCUCACAGUAACUUUAUGAGGUAAGAUGGAUAUUGUUCCUAUCAUAGACUUUAAUGCAUAAUAUUAACUGUCUUUGCUUCUCUGCAUCUAACUCUAGACUGCAAGUUCCACAAGGAUUAUAGCUUUUCGAUAUAUUUUUCACUGUUUCAUCACAGUGCUCAGUAACUCUUUGUUUAAUUGACUUUGAUAGUAUUAUAAUUGCCCCCAUAUUUGUGAUCAAUGAAGAAACUGAGGCUUUCAGAAGGAUUUAUCUUGCCCAAGGUCACACAACUGGGAGUGAAAGCCCUUGAAUUCACAUCUUGUCACUGUCACUGCCUGUCCAAAUGGUCACAAAUUGAGGCUAUCUGGCUGGUAAGAAGUCCCUUUAUCCUGCUAUAAUUUUCUUGGUGGCUCUGUGUCAUUAUGCUGAACUCAGUUUCCCCUCAAGCAGGUGAAACUGCAGAUGGCAUAGGGCACAUAGCUGCAGACCUUGCUCAGACUGGACUCUGAAAGAUUUGGAACCUUAGGCAGAGAGGUGGAAAGGAGUUGGGGAGGCAGUGGCAAUGAUUUGAAAACUAUAACCAAUUUUCUCUCUCCUAGGAGUUGGAGACUUGGAAUCCCCUUUGGUGCAGAAACUAUUCCUUCAUGAGAAGAAGUCCUUAAAUAGGCUCUUUAGACAGGAGGCCACAUGUUGAAGGCAGCAGGGUCACAAGAUGGAAGAACCAGGGUCCCAGUAUCAUCGCUCCCUGCUUCAAGCUGCCAGGGGCAGCCUAACCCACAUGGCAUUAUGACAUAAGAAACAAAGUAACUAUUGUUUUAUUAAAUCAAUGAGAUAUUGGGCUUCUUGUUAUAGCAACUAGUAUAAAUUGCCCUGACUGAUACAUUAUGGAUUUAGAGUGCACUGUACUACAACUGUUUGUUGUAUUUUCAAAAUUGUGGUAUAACUGACU